GGAGGGGGCCAGCGUUGCUCGGAAUCACUGGGCGUAAAGGGCUCGUAGGCGGUCUGAUAAGUCCUGUGUGAAAUCCCUUGGCUUAACCAAGGAACUGCGCCGGAUACUGUCGGACUAGAGGCCGGGAGAGGGAAGCGGAAUUCCGAGUGUAGCGGUGGGAUGCGUAGAUAUUCGGAGGAACACCGGUGGCGAAGGCGGCUUCCUGGACCGGUUCUGACGCUGAUGGGCGAAAGCUAGGGUAGCAAACAGGACUAGAUACCCUGGUAGUCCUAGCUGUAAACGAUGGGCGCUUGGUGUUGCGGGUAUCGACCCCUGCAGUGCCGAAGCUAACGCAUUAAGCGCCCCGCCUGGGGAGUACGGUCGCAAGGCUG
This 371-nucleotide ribosomal RNA is filed under the name uncultured bacterium. Its description in RNAcentral is "bacterial SSU rRNA". It matches the Rfam family "Bacterial small subunit ribosomal RNA", at positions 527 to 896 of the family's 1533-position model. The record is from RNAcentral.